GUGCUCACUUCAGCAGCACAUAUACUAAAAUUGGAAUGAUACAGAGAAGAUUAACAUGGCCCCUGUGCAACUACGACAUGCAAUUUCAUGAAGCAUUCCAUAUUUUU
Molecule: small nuclear RNA, 107 nt
Organism: Mesocricetus auratus (golden hamster)
Lineage: Eukaryota; Metazoa; Chordata; Mammalia; Rodentia; Cricetidae
Source: Ensembl